Molecule: long non-coding RNA, 665 nt
Filed under: Coturnix japonica (Japanese quail)
Lineage: Eukaryota; Metazoa; Chordata; Aves; Galliformes; Phasianidae
Description: lncRNA (ENSCJPG00005014336.1)
Source: RNAcentral
GAGAGAUCUUAAACCUUGUAUCUCUCAGAGACCUCAAGAAAACCACGUACCCCCAAAUAAUCAAACACAAAUGUUUUUAAAGUAUUACUGAAUGGCUAAUAGUAACUUCAUUUUAGAAAUAAAAACUGUGCUUUUAGGUUUAAAUAUAUGAAUUCUCAAUAUCUCAUAACACAGUGAAGCUGUUGACUGAACAAAAUUUCACCUGUCUUUUUAAAAAAGAAACAAAGCUCUCAAAGUUCUGGAGGAAAAACACGGAAAAAAGCAUUUGAUUACAGAUCAAUCAUGCAUACGUGAAAAACUACAGAACAAAGGUUGCCCUUUAAUCAAACUCCACCCAAUUACAGAACAUUUGCCUAGCACUCUCAUAGUAUCAAGGUUUGGUUCGUAAUGUCAUUUCUGCUAUGGCUAUCAGCCAAAGCAAUGAAGCUCAGGACUGAAAUUCAGGAAAUCCCAUUGCACCUCCAAUUCUGCCAUCCUAAAAACUUUUCUUGAGCAUGUGAAACUGAACACCUGCACCACCUCCUAUCAAACUCAAGCUGCAUCAGUACACAAGAAUUCUGUUCACCAGCUAUGCGAAAGCUUUAGAAGUAAAGGUGGGACACAGGACUUGCACAUAUCACCACUGUGGUUCCUUGUCUGAAGACAAGCAACAUAGAAACCUGCAC